This 362-nucleotide unclassified non-coding RNA is filed under the name uncultured fungus. Its description in RNAcentral is "partial contains ITS1, 5.8S rRNA and ITS2". Lineage: Eukaryota; Fungi. The record is from RNAcentral.
AACGCAAGUUGCGUCAAUUUGAAAAAAUUGGCAUAUUUGUAUGAGUUUUAUUAAAACCAAUAAAAAAGUUCGUAAUUGAACUGUUUUAUAUUGAGGUUAUUCACUUUUUAUAAGAAAAUGGAUUGCCUUGAAAUUUUAAUUUUAAUUAUGAACAAUUUUGAAAAUUUUGCUUUGAUUGUGAAAUUUCUAAUAAGAAAAAUCAUUCUCAGUUGUUUUUCAUUCAUUUCAUUUAUUUGAGUGAGUGAAAACAAUUUGAAUUGCAAUGGUUUUUUAUUAUUAAAUUAUAAAAAACAAUCAAUACACAAAAUAAUCAACAAAUUAUAUAUAAACUCAUAUCAAAUAAGAACACCCGCUGAACUUAA